RNAcentral lists this ribosomal RNA (468 nucleotides) under uncultured bacterium. RNAcentral describes it as "partial 16S ribosomal RNA". It matches the Rfam family "Bacterial small subunit ribosomal RNA", at positions 28 to 507 of the family's 1533-position model. The record is from RNAcentral.
GACGAACGCUGGCGGCGUGCUUAACACAUGCAAGUCGAACGGAAAGGCCCUGCUUUUGUGGGGUGCUCGAGUGGCGAACGGGUGAGUAACACGUGAGUAACCUGCCCUUGACUUUGGGAUAACUUCAGGAAACUGGGGCUAAUACCGGAUAGGAGCUCCUGCUGCAUGGUGGGGGUUGGAAAGUUUCGGCGGUUGGGGAUGGACUCGCGGCUUAUGAGCUUGUUGGUGGGGUAGUGGCUUACCAAGGCUUUGACGGGUAGCCGGCCUGAGAGGGUGACCGGCCACAUUGGGACUGAGAUACGGCCCAGACUCCUACGGGAGGCAGCAGUGGGGAAUAUUGCACAAUGGGAGGAAGCCUGAUGCAGCAACGCCGCGUGCGGGAUGACGGCCUUCGGGUUGUAAUCCGAUUCCGCCUGUGACGAAGCGUGAGUGACGGUAAUGGGUAAAGAAGCACCGGCUAACUCCGUG